GCCAGUUCUGCGCGUGUGAGUCUCUUUCGCCUUGCUCCGGGCUUUCUUCGCUCGCAGCGCGGCAGGGUUAUCACCAGAUCUGGGCUUUCCCCUUCUUGCCGUCAGGUGCUACGGCCACGUGGCCCGCGGCUUCCCGCUCGCGCAGUCUGGCAGCCCGGAGCCUUCCGCGGUCCCCCGCCCGCCCGGGGCCCAACGACGCCCUACUGGGCGAGCACGAUUUCCGAGGACAGGGGGUCCGGGCCCAGCGCUUUCGAUUCUCGGAGGAGCCGGGUCCGGGGGCCGACGGGGCUGUCCUGGAGGUCCACGUCCCGCAGGUGCGUGCAGCAGCACCCGCCAGGAGGCGCCUGAGGUCAGGAGCGGAUGUCGGCUGACUUGGCUGGGUUCCUGAGGGACCGGGGGUGCGGACGCUCAGCUGCGCAGCUUCCUGCUUUAGGUUGACCCCCGGAGCAAAAACGUCGGAUAUGAAGCCCUUCGGUGCAUUAAAUGUCUCUCAGUAAGAAUUUUGGAGACCCUGCCAAGAAGUGACCCUGGUCACUAUGUUGGUCAGGCUGGUCUCGAACUGUAAGCUUAAGUGAUCCUCCUGCCUCGGCCUCCCAAAGUGCUAGGAUUACAGGCAUGAGCCACUGCGCCGGGCCGGCUUUCUCCACAUCGAAUCUUUCCUGCCAGGAAAGUCCUGCAUCUCCAGUAUGGAAUGUAUGUUUGGCCCUGUGCUGUGGUCCUGGCCCAGUACCUUUGGUUUCACAGAAGAUCUCUGCCAGGCAAGGCCAUCUUAGAGAUUGGAGCUGGAGUGAGCCUUCCAGGAAUUUUGGCUGCCAAAUGUGGUGCAGAAGUAAUACUGUCAGACAGCUCAGAACUGCCUCACUGUCUGGAAGUCUGUCGGCAAAGCUGCCAAAUGAAUAACCUGCCACAUCUGCAGGUGGUAGGACUAACAUGGGGUCAUAUAUCUUGGGAUCUUCUGGCUCUACCACCACAAGAUAUUAUCCUUGCAUCUGAUGUGUUCUUUGAACCAGAAGAUUUUGAAGACAUUUUGGCUACAAUAUAUUUUUUGAUGCACAAGAAUCCCAAGGUCCAAUUGUGGUCUACUUAUCAAGUUAGGAGUGCUGACUGGUCACUUGAAGCUUUACUCUACAAAUGGGAUAUGAAAUGUGUCCACAUUCCUCUUGAGUCUUUUGAUGCAGACAAAGAAGAUAUAGCAGAAUCUACCCUUCCAGGAAGACAUACAGUUGAAAUGCUGGUCAUUUCCUUUGCAAAGGACAGUCUCUGAAUUAUACCUACAACCUGUUCUGGGACAGUAUCAAUACUGAUGAGCAACCUGGCACACAAACUAUGAGCAGACCACUUCAGCUUGAGAAUGCAGUGGGUCUGAAGAUGGUCAAGUCUGUUUGCCUUAGAUUUUGAUGUCACCUAGACAACACUUAAACUCAUAUGAAACAAAAAUUAAAAUACGUAUUACAAG
RNAcentral lists this long non-coding RNA (1456 nucleotides) under Homo sapiens (human). RNAcentral describes it as "long non-coding RNA NONHSAT175633.1". The record is from RNAcentral. Lineage: Eukaryota; Metazoa; Chordata; Mammalia; Primates; Hominidae.